GAUGAACGCUGGCGGCGUGCCUAAUACAUGCAAGUCGAGCGAACGGACGAGAAGCUUGCUUCUCUGAUGUUAGCGGCGGACGGGUGAGUAACACGUGGAUAACCUACCUAUAAGACUGGGAUAACUUCGGGAAACCGUAGCUAAUACCGGAUAAUAUUUUGAACCGCAUGGUUCAAAAGUGAAAGACGGUCUUGCUGUCACUUAUAGAUGGAUCCGCGCUGCAUUAGCUAGUUGGUAAGGUAACGGCUUACCAAGGCAACGAUGCAUAGUCGACCUGAGAGGGUGAUCGGCCACACUGGAACUGAGACACGGUCCAGACUCCUACGGGAGGCAGCAGUAGGGAAUCUUCCGCAAUGGGCGAAAGCCUGACGGAGCAACGCCGCGUGAGUGAUGAAGGUCUUCGGAUCGUAAAACUCUGUUAUUAGGGAAGAACAUAUGUGUAAGUAACUGUGCACAUCUUGACGGUACCUAAUCAGAAAGCCACGGCUAACUACGUG
Molecule: ribosomal RNA, 497 nt
Filed under: uncultured bacterium
Lineage: Bacteria
Description: partial 16S ribosomal RNA
Rfam family: Bacterial small subunit ribosomal RNA
Source: RNAcentral